Molecule: ribosomal RNA, 480 nt
Filed under: uncultured bacterium
Lineage: Bacteria
Description: partial 16S ribosomal RNA
Rfam family: Bacterial small subunit ribosomal RNA
Source: RNAcentral
GAUGAACGCUAGCGGCAGGCCUAACACAUGCAAGUCGAGGGGGAAGUUACUUUCGGGUGACUGAGACCGGCGUACGGGUGCGUAACGCGUAUACAAUCUGCCUUUCACUGGGGGAUAGCCCGAAGAAAUUUGGAUUAAUACCCCAUAGUAUAUAGGGACGGCAUCGUUUUUAUAUUAAAGCUUAGGUGGUGAAAGAUGAGUAUGCGUUCUAUUAGCUAGUUGGAGAGGUAACGGCUCCCCAAGGCGAUGAUAGAUAGGGGCUCUGAGAGGGAUGUCCCCCACACUGGUACUGAGAUACGGACCAGACUCCUACGGGAGGCAGCAGUGAGGAAUAUUGGACAAUGGUCGGAAGACUGAUCCAGCCAUGCCGCGUGCAGGAUGAAGGUCUUAUGGAUUGUAAACUGCUUAUGUAAGGGAAGAAUAAGGGCUACGCGUAGUUUGAUGACGGUACCUUACGAAUAAGCAUCGGCUAACUCCGUG